This 253-nucleotide ribosomal RNA is filed under the name uncultured bacterium. RNAcentral describes it as "partial 16S ribosomal RNA". It matches the Rfam family "Bacterial small subunit ribosomal RNA", at positions 524 to 776 of the family's 1533-position model. The record is from RNAcentral.
UACAGAGGUCCCAAGCGUUGUUCGGAUUCACUGGGCGUAAAGGGUGCGUAGGCGGUCGGGUAAGUCUGAUGUGAAAUCUCACAGCUUAACUGUGAAACUGCAUUGGAUACUAUCCGGCUCGAGGAAUGGAGGGGAGACUGGAAUACUUGGUGUAGCAGUGAAAUGCGUAGAUAUCAAGUGGAACACCAGUGGCGAAGGCGAGUCUCUGGACACUUCCUGACGCUGAGGCACGAAAGCCAGGGGAGCAAACGGG